Molecule: ribosomal RNA, 500 nt
Filed under: uncultured bacterium
Lineage: Bacteria
Description: partial 16S ribosomal RNA
Rfam family: Bacterial small subunit ribosomal RNA
Source: RNAcentral
AUUGAACGCUGGCGGCAUGCCUUACACAUGCAAGUCGAACGGCAGCACGGGAGCAAUCCUGGUGGCGAGUGGCGAACGGGUGAGUAAAGCAUCGGAACGUGCCCAGUCGUGGGGGAUAACGUAGCGAAAGCUACGCUAAUACCGCAUACGAACUGUGGAUGAAAGCGGGGGACCGUAAGGCCUCGCGCGAUUGGAGCGGCCGAUGUCAGAUUAGGUAGUUGGUGAGGUAAAGGCUCACCAAGCCGACGAGCUGUAGCUGGUCUGAGAGGACGACCAGCCACACUGGGACUGAGACACGGCCCAGACUCCUACGGGAGGCAGCAGUGGGGAAUUUUGGACAAUGGGCGCAAGCCUGAUCCAGCAAUGCCGCGUGCAGGAUGAAGGCCUUCGGGUUGUAAACUGCUUUUGUACGGAGCGAAACGGCUUCCACUAAUACUGGGGGCUAAUGACGGUACCGUAAGAAUAAGCACCGGCUAACUACGUGCCAGCCGCCGCGGUAA